CAAGGUUCUUUGAAGGCCCUGGGAGCCAGGGUAAAAACCCAAAGUACUCUGUGACAGACCUUGACAAUGAAAACUUCAGAACUGUUGGUGAGGUAAUAGCAGUGAGCCUAGCUCAAGGUGGCCCACCCCCUGCUUUUUUCAAAGAAUGGUGUUACAACUUCCUUUGCAAUGGUGAGGUGGAUUUGAGGACACUUUCUCAAGAGGAUGUUACGGAUCUAGAAUCCUGCCAGCUUAUCAACAAUGUUGAAAACUCAACAGAUCCUGAGUCUCUGAUGGUUUUGAUCGAUGACAUUGUAAACUGUGGUUACUCAAGCCAGAUCAAGCUGGACAACAAAAAAAGCAUAAUUCGAGCGGUAGUGCUGCAUUCCACCACGAGAUUAAUUCCAAUGCUGCAGCAGGUGCGAAAGGGGCUGGAGCUGUAUGGUCUGUUGGACCAGAUGGCUGCCCACCCAGAAGCUUGCUAUUCACUCUUUGUACCUGGGAAAAUUGAAAAGCCUGAUGCUGAUUUCAUAAUGAUGCACUGCAAGGCAGAAUACAGUGAGAAGGGAACUGCUGGAGAAAGGGCAGAGAGGAGGAUAAUGGCCUUUUUCCAAGACUUUUUGGAGGAAUUGGAGAUGUCAGAUGUGAAAGAAGAAGAGGUUCUAACAGUGGAGCAUGUGUUGAAGUCGAUAACUGGUCAAGCCCACAUCCCUAUCCUCCCAGAUGAGAAGAGACAUUUCAAGAUUACUGUGAAGUUCAACCAUGAAUGCAUUGAGCAACUAGGACCACACUCCGUGUGUUACCCAACUGUGAGCGCAUGUUCUCAAACAGUGACCUUCCCAAUACAGCAUCUGGACACUCUCAAUGAUUUUACAAGAAUCAUGAGUGAAGCUGUUCGCUAUGGUGGUGGAUUUCACAGAGUCUAACAACCAGUUGUUUUUCAUUUUCUUAAAAGGGCCACUUCACCAGUCAUGUUUUUGAAUGGGAGUGUGUGAGUGGAGUGAGUGGAGUGAGUGGAGUG
Long non-coding RNA from Sardina pilchardus (European sardine), 1000 nucleotides. RefSeq lists it as uncharacterized. The record is from RefSeq and is a predicted model, not a curated record. The transcript has 6 exons. Lineage: Eukaryota; Metazoa; Chordata; Actinopteri; Clupeiformes; Clupeidae.